AUCUGAUGAGAAUUCACUAAUCCCUGGUGGCUAAACAGAAUCCUCCUGCUUGCUUACUGUGGUGGAAAAUUCCUCUAGUCUAGCACAGUAGUUCUCAAAGUGAGAUCCCCCAGACAAGUAGCAUCAACAGGGAGCUUGUUCAAAUGCAACUUCUCAGGCCCCAUCCAAGAUCUACUGAAUCAGAAACUCUGGGAGUGACACAUGGCAAUCUGCGUUUUAACAAACCCUCUAAAUAAUUCUGAUGCACACUAAAUUUUAAGAACAACUGAAAGCAGAAAACUUUUUGAGCUCUACAACUAGAAGUAAGAAUAUUGAAAUGUAAGAACAUAGGUGAGAGCUCUUCAAAGUGGAUUAGCUACAGAUAAAUGUAAAUAAAUUUUAACUCACUGCGUUUGAUCUGUUUUUCAAUUCUUUUUGAUGGAAAUAAGUCAACCAAAACACCAGUCCUCACCCUUUUCCUCAGCCACAUGCAAGACUCAUGUUCAUUAAAGUCAAGGCUUAAUAAGGCUUGCAACAUCGAUCAGAUGGGCUGCAGUUUAUGAGAAAGUGUCAGCCAGACCCUUCCACUGGAGAAAACAUUGUAAAUGAACAAAAUGGCUGGGUCUCUAGCAGAAUAUUGAAUCAUGCCUUGACCUGGGGAAUGAAAGCCAUGAACAGUAGAUCAAGACAGAAGAAACCUGAUCCCUCACACUGGGGUAUACAUAGGAGCCCUGGAUUAACUCCUUCCAGACUUCAUGAGAGAAAUAAACUUCUGCCGUAUUUAA
Long non-coding RNA from Homo sapiens (human), 764 nucleotides. RefSeq lists it as uncharacterized. The record is from RefSeq and is a predicted model, not a curated record. NCBI's taxonomy places the organism in Eukaryota, Metazoa, Chordata, Mammalia, Primates, Hominidae. The transcript has 2 exons.